UACGCAGGCGGAAAAUUAAGUCAGUGGUGAAAUCCUGCAGCUUAACUGUAGAACUGUCAUUGAUACUGGUUUUCUUGAAUGUAGUUGAGGUAGGCGGAAUGUGUAAUGUAGCGGUGAAAUGCUUAGAUAUUACACAGAACACCGAUUGCGAAGGCAGCUUACUAAGCUACUAUUGACGCUGAGGUACGAAAGCGUGGGGAGCGAACAGGAUUAGAUACCCUGGUAGUC
Molecule: ribosomal RNA, 228 nt
Filed under: uncultured bacterium
Lineage: Bacteria
Description: partial 16S ribosomal RNA
Rfam family: Bacterial small subunit ribosomal RNA
Source: RNAcentral